Molecule: ribosomal RNA, 184 nt
Filed under: uncultured bacterium
Lineage: Bacteria
Description: partial 16S ribosomal RNA
Rfam family: Bacterial small subunit ribosomal RNA
Source: RNAcentral
UAGGGAAUUUUCGUCAAUGGGCGCAAGCCUGAACGAGCAAUGCCGCGUGAACGAGGAAGGUCUUCGGAUCGUAAAGUUCUGUUGAAGGGGAAAAAGAGCGGAGAGAGGAAAUGGUCUCCGAUUGAUAUUACCCUUCGAGGAAGUCACGGCUAACUACGUGCCAGCAGCCGCGUAAUAGUGCGCU